UCUACAACCCAUACCACCUUGAACACUCCUGAUCUCGUCUCAUCUUAGAAGCCAAGCAGAGUCGGGCCUCCCUUAAUACCUGGAUGGAGAAAAUUACCCUGGUGAAAGAGGACAAGAC
RNAcentral lists this ribosomal RNA (118 nucleotides) under Erinaceus europaeus (western European hedgehog). Lineage: Eukaryota; Metazoa; Chordata; Mammalia; Eulipotyphla; Erinaceidae. The record is from RNAcentral.